Molecule: long non-coding RNA, 1655 nt
Organism: Brassica napus (rape)
Lineage: Eukaryota; Viridiplantae; Streptophyta; Magnoliopsida; Brassicales; Brassicaceae
Exons: 5
Source: RefSeq, a predicted model, not a curated record
AAAUAAUAAACAUCCGACCCACUAAUAAAGUAGGUUACAAGCAAGCGUCUUCUACUUCUUCAUUGUCGACGCAACCAUCAAAUCUUCUCCCCUCAAUUCCGUCGAUGGAGUAAAUCAGUAUCAAUGGCGUGCAAUUAAUUCACCGUACUUUCUCCUCAUCAAUCUAGACUUUUCACCUCCCCCAUCAACCGAAUCAGCUAUAUAUAUCUUAUAUAUAUAUAUAUAUAUAUAUAUAUAUGUGGUCUCGACCAAUGAUCCCACUCCUUUGCAUUCAAUUGGUUUUAGUCUCUGUUUUGCAUGAACUCCAUCAACGGCGACUUCCCACCUUCUUCUUGCUGAUUCGAAAGCUGGAUGUUGACUGAUAAAGAAGGCAGGGACGACGAGGAUGGCUUCCUCAUUGGGUUGUCUCACCGACUCACUCCCUCAACUUAACACUUCCUUUCUUCAACUCCAAGUCCGAGUUAUGGAUGAGAAAGUGGAUGCUCGAUCUAUUGCUUUAUGUUUCGAUUUUGAUCUAAUCCGACUUAUUUCAUGGUUUCUCAGAUAAGGAUGAGAAUUAAAAAAGCACACACCAAGACCUAAACGCUAAGGCUAUCUCUCUUUGAAAACGCUAUGUUCUUGCAGCAACGUCUCACCCAUUAGCUUUCUUAAGGUUCACACGAAAACGUAGACAAGAGCUGGUGCCGCAAGAACGGCUAGACAGACUGUGCAAGAGCUCGAAUGGCUGUUUGACAAGCACAAACCUCUUACGAAUCAUACUAUUGCGAGAACCCUACAACUAGAAGUUCCUUGAAUGGCGAUUACUCAGCUCUACUGCUCCAAUUUGAAGGCUGGUUGUUGCAAGGACAGAGGUGUUGGGAGGCGAGGAAUGUUAAGAAAUCCGGCGAGCUUAUGGGUGUGGAUUUGGUGUUCCUCGAUAAGAAGCUACCUUGAUCCACGGUUCUAUACUUCUAUUGGUGCUCAUAGACUCAACACUUUCAACCACUUGCUGAGGGAAGGGGUCAUCUAUGAGUCGAGCAAAUUCCAAAACAUCAACAUGAACGGCUACAGGCUUACCAUCUGCAGCAUCAGCAGAAACAUAUACAUCACGCUGAUAUUGUACGUAGGAAGUGGAUAAGUUUGAGCUUUGAUAACUCGAGUUGUACAUCGCUUAGUGCCUUAUGAAAGGAGAUGAGCAUGGAAGCAGCAAAUGUGGAAGCUCUAGACGAGGCCACUGCUCUAAGAGAACGUCAGAUGAAAUAUCGGGUAGGAAAUCAGAGUGCCUCCUAUAAGUAACAGGGUUGCAGAUAUCCCUCUUGGGAAAAUAUGGUCACAAACCCAUUUAUGGAUUUCCUUAUCGCAGGGGAUAUUUUAAAUGCGGUAGCAAGACAGAUUGUCCUUAUAGGAACCACAUAGAAAGAUGUUUGGAAGAUCCGGCAAUGCCGUAACAACAUAACUUUCAUUUAUCAUCUGUGUUCUCUCCAAUGUGCAUGAUGAUAGAUGGGUCUUGAUUCUGCUCCAAUAUUGUGUGAUAAAAUGAUGGAAGCAGUGCUUUUAGUUCGGUGGAUUUGCGCAUGAGAGAGUUUACUGCUGUUGGUUGGUUUGGUUUAAGGGGUAAACGAAGGAUUUGUAAAGACCUUUGUUCUUAUUCCUAUCAAGUUUAUUUCUUUUAAUGA